RNAcentral lists this ribosomal RNA (417 nucleotides) under Listeria monocytogenes. Its description in RNAcentral is "bacterial SSU rRNA". It matches the Rfam family "Bacterial small subunit ribosomal RNA", at positions 212 to 621 of the family's 1533-position model. Lineage: Bacteria; Bacillati; Bacillota; Bacilli; Caryophanales; Listeriaceae. The record is from RNAcentral.
CUAUCGCUUACAGAUGGGCCCGCGGUGCAUUAGCUAGUUGGUAGGGUAAUGGCCUACCAAGGCAACGAUGCAUAGCCGACCUGAGAGGGUGAUCGGCCACACUGGGACUGAGACACGGCCCAGACUCCUACGGGAGGCAGCAGUAGGGAAUCUUCCGCAAUGGACGAAAGUCUGACGGAGCAACGCCGCGUGUAUGAAGAAGGUUUUCGGAUCGUAAAGUACUGUUGUUAGAGAAGAACAAGGAUAAGAGUAACUGCUUGUCCCUUGACGGUAUCUAACCAGAAAGCCACGGCUAACUACGUGCCAGCAGCCGCGGUAAUACGUAGGUGGCAAGCGUUGUCCGGAUUUAUUGGGCGUAAAGCGCGCGCAGGCGGUCUUUUAAGUCUGAUGUGAAAGCCCCCGGCUUAACCGGGGAGG